AGAAUUCCAACAGCUGUUGCAGUUUCUUUCACCCCUGUGUAAGAAACUACCAGCAGGAACGCCGCCUUCCACAUGAGAGCUAUUCAAGAGUGUUGGCCUCAGGCACUGUUCCCAUUAGGGGACCCAAGCCCAGAAGGGACCCUGCAGGCCUCAGCUACCCAUCCUGGAAUACUGAAUGUUGUUCAAGAGUAUAUCAAGAACAUAAUGGCUUGAGAAUUCAACUGGUUUGAUCUACAUUUUCAUCUAAUUACAAAACUGAAUUACAGUAAGCCAGCAAUGUUUUUGUAGUGCUAAAAUUUAAGGUAUCAAAAUACAUAAUUCAUGUUAAGCUUUUUUAAAGUCCUCUGAGAAUCACAUACUGGCCCAUUAUAUAGAAGGUUUGCGACACUUCACUUUAGCGUGUGUGUGUGAAGAAGUUAACUGAAAUAACUCCACUUAGUGUUUGAGAGGGAGAGAGCAAUGUAAUGAAAUCUGUUUGCUGUGCUAGCUGUCUCCAGAUUGGGCUGUAAUUACACCACAGAAGGAAGAAAGGUAGCUGAGUCUCAAUCUGGAUCAUUUAUGUAAACUCAGCCUUCUUGUCAACGAUGUUCUCAGAUUGCAAGCAUGCAAACCACAAAAAUCAUCUCCUAUGAACAAAAUAGAGACAGUGUCAGAUUGCAGGCUUCUGAUAUACCUUGUAUUCUCUCUGUAAUUGGACUUUAACAUCUGACACAGUAAGGUUAAAAAACUUCUCAUGUAAUAUACAUCUAUUCAGGGAAUGAAAUCCUGUACAGAAAGGGGGUAGGGGGAGGGAGAAGAACGAUCCUUUACUUCUUUAUGGCAUAGAAUUGACACAGAGUUGUAUGAAGAAGCAUUUAUUUGGCGUGAAUUAAAACAAAAUGUUCAGGAAAUCAAGGAAAAUGUAGUACCUGCGUUUGCCGAAAUAAGUGGCAUCUUAUACAGAAGGCAAAUAUGUUACCCUGGAAGUUUAAAACCCCACCCACUGAACCAAAUUGAAGACUAUACAAACAGCACAUUCAAAAUUAUUCUUUUCUGCAGAAUGACAUAAAUAUUACAAAGCUCUUACCAUACCUGAUGCGCGCUCUCAGCAACUCUUUCAAACACACAAUGCAUUAGGCAAAGGGUAAUUUUAUAUGUAAAUACAUAACGAAACAGUGUGAGGAGACAUAGCGGCAUGUAGUCAGAUAAAAGAUUCCCUCCUUUCCCCUGCUAAUUCAUCGAGCUGCCCUUCAUGUUGAUAAAUUGGUACAUUAAUUCUGGUUUUAAACAGCCCUCUCUCUGGCAGAUUUAGAAAGCAUUUCUCCCGACACCUGCAGCUUCAGGGCCCCCCUCUGUCUUCUCUAGUGCAGGAAAACCACAGGCCACCACACUGGCGCCAUCCCUGGCUAUGUCCAAUCAAUAAGGACUUAUUUCCUGUCCAUUUGCUGAGGUCACAGAAGCGAGUCUCAUUAAUUAUUGCUACCAGUGCAGCCUCAAGUGUGCUUCUGGCAUGACAAGUGAAAACUGUUUGACCUUUUUUCCCUAAUUUUGUUUGUAGCAGUUCCGAAGGGUAUAUGUUAGUUUGGGAAUGUGGUGAGUGGAACAGAAACACAUUUUUUAAAGCCACUGACAUAUUUAGAUGCGGAGCAA
Long non-coding RNA from Podarcis raffonei (Aeolian wall lizard), 1629 nucleotides. RefSeq lists it as uncharacterized. The transcript has 3 exons. The record is from RefSeq and is a predicted model, not a curated record. NCBI's taxonomy places the organism in Eukaryota, Metazoa, Chordata, Lepidosauria, Squamata, Lacertidae.